This 3400-nucleotide long non-coding RNA is filed under the name Lathyrus oleraceus (garden pea). Its description in RNAcentral is "Pisum sativum (pea) long non-coding RNA (PSAT_LNC035196)". Lineage: Eukaryota; Viridiplantae; Streptophyta; Magnoliopsida; Fabales; Fabaceae. The record is from RNAcentral.
UUCUUCCAUUUUCACUUGUUCUUCAAAAUAGACUACCUGAGACAAAUAGGAAGAAAAUACCACGUAAUAUCUCAUAAAAUGCAAUAAACCGAAAUAAAUAGUCCUAGAAUUUAAUGGAGUUAAGUCCUAAAAUAUGAUAUAAUUUCGUGUUAUCACUUAUAAUUCAAGACUGGCAUCAAGGAGAUUCACCAGUGCAAGAGACCAAGCAUUUCCUUGAGAUGAGGGCCACAUGGUUGUUCUAGAGAGCUUACAUGAACCAGGGUUCAUUUUGAAGCAACUUGACCAAGUGUUGAAGGCUCAAAGUCCACAGUGCAGUUUCAGGUCAUCUAGGCCCCAUAAAAGUCAACUGAAAGUCAACUGGGGGCUAGGAGGUGGAGAAAUGGUUUGAGACACCUCAUUCAUGUCCCAAAGAGGUUUAUUCAUCAUGUCAAACAUCUACUUUGAAGAUUUUGAAGCCAGAUCAAAAGUUUCCAAAAGUGGAAAAUGACCUGUAAUUUAAAGUUUCCAAAAAUGGCAAGUUUUUGGAUCACAUUCAACUUGACUUUCCAACAUCAAAGAAGCUUCAAAUGAAAUUUUUUCCAACAUGAAAGUUGAAGAUCUUUCUCUCCCAUUUCCAAAAAGUCCAAGAUCAUGAUCAUAUGAUGAAUGGUUGAGAAGAUAUGAUCAAAUCAUUGCCAAGUGUGCAUGGAACUUCAACAAGCCAUAACUUUUGAUCUAGAACUCCAAAUUGAGUGCCUCUUUUUGCAUAAUGCUUGUCAUGACUCAUAGACUACCUGAGACAAAUAGGAAGAAAAUACCACGUAAUAUCUCAUAAAAUGCAGUAAACCGAAAUAAAUAGUCAUAGAAUUUAAUGGAAUUAAGUCCUAAAAUAUGAUAUAAUUUCGUGUUAUCAAUAGACCCCAUCUCCUGAUCAUGCCCUGAUUGGCCCAAUGCAACUGAUUAGGGUUGACCAGUGGUCAAAACCCUAAUCUCAAGGAAUCUGCUUCAACACUUGACGAUAACAAACCAUGAUGAUGAUGAUGAAUCAUUGUAAUCAAGAUGAAGACCAAUCUCCUUGAGAAUCAUGAAACCCUAAUUUGGACCUCCACAUCCUCAGAUGAUUAAUGACCAGUCCAAUGAAACCCUAGCUUGCACAUUGACUUCCUCAUCUUCUGAAUCAAGACUUGGGAGAAUGGCUUGCACAAUAUGACCACAUGAUAUGCAAUAUGCAAUGCCUAAUGACCUAACAAUGAUAUGGAAUAUGUUAUGCUAGUCCCAAGAGAGGAGGGCAAAUUUUGAGGUGUUACACCCAUACGCAAAGUCGCUCUAGACAAGGGUAGGAGAGGCUCCCUCUCAUCAUUCCUCAUUACUUAAAAUGCAUGAUACUUCUCUUGACCGACAAGUUGUUGGUGAAGAACCUUUGUUGUUGAUCCUUGCGUUGGUGUUGAACUUGUAUGAAGAAGACUUGGUAGUUUAAUCGAUUCGUAUUGUACUAAAGUAUAUAAAUAAGGGCGAACACUUUGAAUAUUUGGGGCAUACGCCCCAUACGCAAAGUCGCUCUAGACAAGGGUAGGAGAGACUCCCUCUCAUCAUUCCUUAUUACUUAAGGCUCAUUUCAUACAAUUUAAAUUGUAUUUACCAAGUGUUGACCUUUGCAAUGCUUGAGAAGUAGUCCACUUUGCUAGCUAUGCUUGAUUGAUUUUGACUUGAAGUCUUGAUCUUGUAUUUGAACCUUGAGGUCUUGAGCGUAUACAUGAUAGCUUGAGCGCAACAAACUUGCCAUAUCAAGGGUUUUUGAUCACCUAAAAUAGACUUGGGUUUACAACAUGAUUACAAAGGAUUUGGUUGACCAAAGUGUCCUUUGGUUAACACUAAUCGAUGGGAAAAAUAAUAGUUGAAUUAUAUAUAAUAAUAAAUACUAUUAAAUUAAACAACUAUUAGACAAUUCUAGUUAAAUCCCUAAGCUAAGGGAUCAUGCAUUAAAUCAGGAAUUUCUAAUUAGAAUCCCUAAGCUAGGAGAGCAUGUAUUAAAAUCAAGAUUUUAGGCCCUGAGGGCAAAAUAGUCAUUAUGCUAAGAAAAUUAGGAUAUGAUAAUCAACAUUUAAUAAGGGACUAAUCCUAAUGACCUAAUUAUGCCAAUUUUCAAUUAACCUCUAAUUCUAAAAAUAAACUAUUCUAAAAAUUCUAAUUAUCUAAAGAUUUCUAAUAAUGCUAAUUAAAAUUCUAAAAGGUUCUAAAACUCUAAUUAAUUAGUAUUUACAUCUAAAAAUUAUUUAACCUAAUUAAUCUAAAAUCUAUUAUUUAUAAGAAUUAAUCAAGAUUAUCAUGAAUCAAAAUCUAAUCCAAAAUAUUCUGAUAUUCCUAAUUAAAACCAAAAUUCACUCGAAUCCAAUACCUAAUUGACUUUAAUUCUACCUAAUUAACUCUAAAAUUUUUUUGUAAGAAUUCCAAGAUUAAAACAAUUUUAUGAUCUAAAAUAUUAUAUCUAAUCCUAACUAGUUCCUAAACCUGAUUAUUCUAACCAAUUUAAUUAAAAUGAAUCCCUAAUUAUAAAUCCUAAUUAAAUAGAUUACCAAGAGUUAAAUAAAAGGGGAAGGUGCAGAACUUGGAAUUUUGGUGUGAACAGCAAUGGAUUAACAAACAACAAAGCCAAGAUCUGAACGCUGGGGAGGUAUAAGCCCAUGAUCCAGGGCCCAUUAACCUUUCCCGAAAAAAUCUGGAGUUAACACAAAAAAAGGAGUAUGUUGUUUGAGGGUGUAAAUAGAGGGUUUGGCCAAGAGAAGACUUGGGCCACGGGCCCAUUGCUUGUUGGGUGAACGAAAUCCAAACCCCAAGUCUGACCCACCAACGAACCCUGAAGCUACAAAAACGAUCGCAGAUUCCUCCCGAAGCUAGACGGAAUUUCACGGCCGCGGGGAGAGAACGGAAACGGGUUCUCCUGGUCGUCAUCGAGAGAGGCGUUCUCGUCUUCUCCUAAAUCCCUGCAUCAACUCAACACUUUAGAUGUCUUUUCUCCUUUGUCGAGAAUUCACACGACUCCAUGAAGCAAGUUGAACUCCGAAUCCAAGACGUUCGUCGAAUUGAAUCCGAAUUAUUGGAUUCAGUACUCGUCUUCUCCAAAUCGAAAAUGGAGAGUUCACCGAUACUUAGUUUUAUGCUAAAUCGAGGAGGAACGCGGGCGUAUUUAUCAGAUUCAUAUUGCUUAAAGAAGCAAGAGGUGGAGGGAUAACUUACCGGUUCGAAGUAGAGGAAUCUUCCGAUGCGGCGGCUCGACGGUAACGGUCUCACAGGUGCCUCGAUUCUCUUCUUCUUUCCUUUUACUCUCCUUCUUCUUAUUCUCUUCCGUAGAAGCGUGUUUGUUGCUUCUUACAUUCGCUACUGAUGCGUGGUUGAGAGAGGGUUGCGUGUGGUUUGUAGUGCA